This 72-nucleotide transfer RNA is filed under the name Nippostrongylus brasiliensis. It matches the Rfam family "tRNA". Rfam says of the family: Transfer RNA (tRNA) molecules are approximately 80 nucleotides in length. Their secondary structure includes four short double-helical elements and three loops (D, anti-codon, and T loops). Lineage: Eukaryota; Metazoa; Nematoda; Chromadorea; Rhabditida; Heligmosomidae. The record is from Rfam by way of RNAcentral.
GUCUCAGUAGUGUAGUGGUUAGUGCACAGCCCCGGAUAGGUAGAGACGCGGGUUCGAAUCCCGCCUGAGAUG